CCUACGGGUGGCAGCAGUGGGGAAUAUUGCACAAUGGGGGAAACCCUGAUGCAGCGACGCCGCGUGAGUGAAGAAGUAAUUCGUUACGUAAAGCUCUAUCAGCAGGGAAGAAAAUGACGGUACCUGAGUAAGAAGCCCCGGCUAACUACGUGCCAGCAGCCGCGGUAAUACGUAGGGGGCAAGCGUUAUCCGGAUUUACUGGGUGUAAAGGGAGCGUAGACGGGGCGCCAAGUCUGGAGUGAAAUGCCGCGGCUUAACUGCGGAACUGCUUUGGAAACUGGCGAACUAGAGUGUGGGAGGGGUAAGCGGAAUUCGUAGUGUAGCGGUGAAAUGCGUAGAUAUUAGGAGGAACACCGGUGGCGAAGGCGGCUUACUGGACCGUAACUGACGUUGAGGCUCGAAAGCGUGGGGAGCAAACAGGAUUAGAUACCCGGGUAGUC
RNAcentral lists this ribosomal RNA (440 nucleotides) under uncultured bacterium. Its description in RNAcentral is "partial 16S ribosomal RNA". It matches the Rfam family "Bacterial small subunit ribosomal RNA", at positions 338 to 795 of the family's 1533-position model. The record is from RNAcentral.